CGCGUAGGCGGCUUUUUAAGUCGGAUGUGCAAUCCCCGAGCUUAACUUGGGAACUGCAUCCGAGACUGGGAGGCUAGAGUACUGGAGAGGUUGGUGGAGUUCCACGUGUAGCGGUGAAAUGCGUAGAGAUGUGGAGGAACACCAGUGGCGAAGGCGGCCAACUGGACAGUAACUGACGCUGAGGCGCGAAAGUGUGGGGAGCAAACAGGAUUAGAUACCCUGGUAGUCCACACUGUAAACGAUGAACACUUGGUGUGUCGGGAGUUGACCCCCGACGUGCCGGAGCUAACGCGUUAAGUGUUCCGCCUGGGGAGUACGGUCGCAAGGCUGAA
Molecule: ribosomal RNA, 332 nt
Filed under: uncultured bacterium
Lineage: Bacteria
Description: bacterial SSU rRNA
Rfam family: Bacterial small subunit ribosomal RNA
Source: RNAcentral